ACAAUUUAAUAUAUUGUGUACCUGUGUGUGAAAAGGCAGCUGAAAGUCAAGCAGAUCCCAUGAUGAGGGGGUUGAUGCUGGCACUUUGCAUAAGGUUAUCUGAAGAUCAGAAUUUUCUGGAAGUAAAGUGAAGUAAGAACAGUGCCUUCUGGGUUUUAUAAAGAUAGUUCUCUCUAGGAUACCAUGAAUUCUAAAUACAUAUCAUGGUGAUCCAUCUUGC
Molecule: long non-coding RNA, 220 nt
Organism: Oxyura jamaicensis (ruddy duck)
Lineage: Eukaryota; Metazoa; Chordata; Aves; Anseriformes; Anatidae
Exons: 3
Source: RefSeq, a predicted model, not a curated record